AUGCCGGUGUUCCGCUCGUUUUCGCUUCUUGCAGCGGCGAUAAAACCGUUUGAAUCUGGGAACAGAACCUCUCCAAUAGCCUCUUCUCAUGCAAGGUUUUAUGGUGUUCUAUUUUGCUGCUCUGUAAUCUACAUAGAGUUCUACAAUCGGUUGUUCUACUGCUCAAUUCUGCUACUCGAUAAUUCAAAACUCUACAAUCAAUCAUUUUUAAGUUUAUUGAUGCAUAAGUAUAUAAUCUCAAUUCACGAUGAACAUCAAUUGAUUUUAAAUACUAAUUCCAUUUUGAAAACUAGCAUGAUGAAUGGUCAAAUAUAA
Molecule: non-coding RNA, 315 nt
Organism: Vicia faba (fava bean)
Lineage: Eukaryota; Viridiplantae; Streptophyta; Magnoliopsida; Fabales; Fabaceae
Source: the annotation of a GenBank genome assembly